CGCACGGGUGAGUAACGCGUACGCAACUUACCUCCAAGAGGGGCAUAGCCCUGGGAAACCGGGCUUAAUACCCCAUAGACUUUAGAUUGAGGCAUCUCGAUCAAAGUAAAGCUGAGGCGCUUGGAGAUAGGCGUGCGUGCUAUUAGCUAGUUGGUGAGGUAACGGCUCACCAAGGCGAUGAUAGCUAGGGGGCGUGAGAGCGUGGCCCCCCACACGGGUACUGAGACACGGACCCG
This 236-nucleotide ribosomal RNA is filed under the name uncultured bacterium. RNAcentral describes it as "partial 16S ribosomal RNA". It matches the Rfam family "Bacterial small subunit ribosomal RNA", at positions 99 to 334 of the family's 1533-position model. The record is from RNAcentral.